UAUAACUGCACUUUAUAACGUUCUCUCUGCUGUACUUUAAAAAUGUUCAUGGUAUUAGUGUUAUUAUCAGCUGUGUUACUUGCUAGUGACAGUGCCCCUCCACCAAUACCGACUGGGGUACCAAUACCAACUAACACGCCGGACCCGACCGCUACCACUCCUAAACCAACAAAGCCUACUCCCAAACCUACUACACAGAGUCCUAAUCCUAAACCUUGUGAGGACUCCAACUCUGUGACCUGCCGGGCUGGACAGUGUUGGUUCCCUUACGAUGAGUUCUGCCCCAAAACAUGCGGACUUUGCGAUUAGGAGAUAUGUGCUGAUACGAGAUACAAGGUUAACGUGGAUAUUGUUGAGCUCCAGGGAUAUCUUUCUAGUUGACAAUCUAUACGAUUUUACUAUUCUACUUAUCGGGGUGUAAUAAA
Bolinopsis microptera is the source of this 425-nucleotide long non-coding RNA. RefSeq lists it as uncharacterized. NCBI's taxonomy places the organism in Eukaryota, Metazoa, Ctenophora, Tentaculata, Lobata, Bolinopsidae. The record is from RefSeq and is a predicted model, not a curated record. The transcript has 2 exons.